Molecule: transfer RNA, 72 nt
Filed under: Elusimicrobiales bacterium
Lineage: Bacteria; Pseudomonadati; Elusimicrobiota; Elusimicrobia; Elusimicrobiales
Description: tRNA-Arg
Rfam family: tRNA
About the family: Transfer RNA (tRNA) molecules are approximately 80 nucleotides in length. Their secondary structure includes four short double-helical elements and three loops (D, anti-codon, and T loops).
Source: RNAcentral
GCGCCCGUGGUGAAAUGGAUAUCAUAGCAGCCUCCGAAGCUGUUGGUACAGGUUCGAUUCCUGUCGGGCGCA